GACGAACGCUGGCGGCGUGCUUAACACAUGCAAGUCGAACGGAAAGGCCCCUUUGGGGGUACUCGAGUGGCGAACGGGUGAGUAACACGUGAGUAACCUGCCCUUGACUUCGGGAUAACUUCAGGAAACUGGGGCUAAUACCGGAUAGGAAUCCUUGCUUCAUGGUGGGGGUUGGAAAGCUUCGGCGGUUUUGGAUGGACUCGCGGCUUAUCAGCUUGUUGGUGGGGUAGUGGCUUACCAAGGCUUUGACGGGUAGCCGGCCUGAGAGGGCGACCGGCCACAUUGGGACUGAGAUACGGCCCAGAAUCCGACGGGAGGCAGCAGUGGGGAAUAUUGCACAAUGGGCGGAAGCCUGAUGCAGCAACGCCGCGUGCGGGAUGACGGCCUUCGGGUUGUAAACCGCGUUCAGCAGGGGCGAAGCUUGUGGUGACGGUACCUGCAGAAGAAGCACCGGCUAACUACGUG
This 465-nucleotide ribosomal RNA is filed under the name uncultured bacterium. RNAcentral describes it as "partial 16S ribosomal RNA". It matches the Rfam family "Bacterial small subunit ribosomal RNA", at positions 28 to 507 of the family's 1533-position model. The record is from RNAcentral.